CGUGCAAAAUGUGAACAAAAAUAAACAAGUACUCCUUGACUCAUCAUGUGCCAUUUUUGUGGCUCUUUGCCUUUGAGUAUUAUAGCAUUGCAUUUUCAUGUGUUUACGUAUCACUGUUGUCUUUUAAAAACAUAUAAAUAUAAAUGAAAUAAGUCAGUACAACACACUAAUAAAAGAGACUUUGUGUUGACAGUUUCCCUCUGUGUUAGUCUCCAGGCAGAUACAGAGCUUUAGCUGACUGUUUACAAAAUGGACCAGAAAGCAUUGCGAUCAAACGCGGAGACGUAAUUCAACUCCAGUAUGAAGACAACAGGGGGCGCUGGUGAGGCUGGUGAAGAAUCUGAGUCGACGACUGGAGGGCUUUCUCGGCGCUGCCAGCCUGCAGCUGAUCGUCGGAGACAGCAACCGAGGACACUCCUCCAGACUCGGGGACCCAGGGAACCUGAAGGUGAGAAAGCUCAGCUCCCCGUAGAGAAGAAAGCACAGACUGUGAAUCUAAUAUUUACCUGUGGAUGGACAGAGGAAAGGGAUCGACUGAGCCACACCUGUUCCAAACUGAUGCACAUCAGCCUCCCCACGCCUCAGUCCCUGCUCUUUUCUAGCACAGUCCAGUCAUCAAAAACACAAAGUUGGAAAUGUCGCAGUUGUUUUUUUCCAAGGUUUCGAUGGACAAUCCCCUGGGCCAGUGUUUGCCACUGUUGAAUGUGUCCUGUGGCGUCAGCACAAAGGCGGAGGAACAGUUGAGCCCUUCUGGACCAUCAAUCAUCAAUCUUUGGGUCCUGAUUGGUCGUCCUCCUCUCUGAUUAGAGCUCUUGUCCUUCGCUCGCUCCAUCUGCAACACACACGUGGUCAGGAUGUGUUGGUUGCCGCUGCAGGAGUGAGUCACAAAAGACAUUUUUCAUUCCAGCUUGAACCUGAGCUCAUGGCACCGCGGCGCAUGUAUGCUCUUUUCUGUCGUAGUGUGCGCUGGAUGGACAAUCACCGAGGAUUUGCCUAAAACAUUUACAGCGGAGGCUUUUGUACAUCAUUUUUACCACAGUGUCUCAUCUUUUGUGCCGUUGACGUUUUCCAUUGAAUACUUCACUGUGCUUUUCUUACAUUUCACUCCUUGUGGCAGUCUAGAAAGUUCAAAUGCCAAAAUGUGCCAUGCCAUAAUGCCUUUUUUUUAUUCCCGCUCUUUUAGAUAUCUCGUGUGUGUAGUUUUUGCAAAAAAAAAAAAAAAUCAAAUAGUCUCGCUUUAACCUGACCUAUGAAAUAUCACAGGCACUUUAAUAAUGUGGAAGGACAAUAGAGGAACCGAAAGCCACCUAUUGUCUGCUGAAUGUAUUCUAUGCCUACUGCUUUACCUCUUUUACUGUGGAUUUCCACCUGAUUCAUGCUGUUACUUCCUUUGUUUAUGCUUGAAUGACGUGUUUGGGAGGCAGGGGAGACAAUAGUUGACAUGUGAGUGAUCAUAAUGUAAAGACACAGGCAAACAUGAUGAAGAGCGACGGCAAAGUAUUCCUCGGUGCGCGCCGGAAACAAAUCUGAAGCGCGAGCCGCGGAGCGUCAAGCCCUUGUCGUUCUUCUUGGGAUCUUCAGAUUAAGAGAAAACAAAAGGAGAAAAGGGAGAUUAGGCUGUGUUUGCCCCUCUGUUUCCUCCCCGUCAUUACAGCUCAGUUAAUCUUGGUUUCCGCUUUAAAGGGCAUCAUACAGCCAACAUGAAAUAAACCCUCUAUGUCGAACGCUUAAUUAAAUAUUGAUUUCAGACUUAUAUGAAUUUACCACAUCAAAUUGAGGCCCCAGUCGCAGGGCUGCCUUUGAUAUGCUGUGUUUGAUAUGGAAAUGAGUGUGGGAAGCAGCAGGGGCCGCUUGGUACAGCACAUUUCCUAUGUUGUUAAUUUAUUUAUUUUGCUGCCGUGUUGUUCCUUCAUAUUGUGAAGUAUCUGUGCAUCCCCGGAAUUACAUUUUCAUUUCCAUGCAUUUACAGGAGCUGUAAUGUUUGACUGCACAAGAGCAACGCUCUGCUUAUGAUGACAUUUGUGUUAUUUCCUUGAACUUAAAUCCAAAAUGCUGCAGAUUAUGCACAAAUUCUCCAGGUUGGAAAACAAAACAAUAAGAUGCACUGCUCCAAGCCAAGUAGCAUAAAUACGUUUACGCUUAGAGUUUCUUUAAUAGGAAAAUGCAUGGCAACUGAGCAAUAGCCUGUCACUGUUCUGAACUGGCUUCUUUUUGUAUGGCUUCAAUUCUGUACAGUAAAAGAAAUAAAAACAAAUUAUUUAUUGCUAGAA
Long non-coding RNA from Solea senegalensis (Senegalese sole), 2270 nucleotides. RefSeq lists it as uncharacterized. The record is from RefSeq and is a predicted model, not a curated record. NCBI's taxonomy places the organism in Eukaryota, Metazoa, Chordata, Actinopteri, Pleuronectiformes, Soleidae. The transcript has 3 exons.